Molecule: long non-coding RNA, 518 nt
Organism: Homo sapiens (human)
Lineage: Eukaryota; Metazoa; Chordata; Mammalia; Primates; Hominidae
Exons: 3
Source: RefSeq, a predicted model, not a curated record
UAUAUCAAAGCAGUCAACCACAAACACAUACACCUGUGCCCUCAGAAGAGGCACAUGGAGCUAAGUGAUGACCCUACGCCAUGCAGAUACCUGGGAACGUGGCAUGAUUUCAGUAUCCAUGCUGCAGGAUCAUACGCCAGGGAAUGCAUACGAUCCAAGAAGACAUUCUCUUCAGUAGCAAAUUCAUCAUGGUCAGAGGUAAAGGCACGGUUAGAAGCUAACAUAGUCAUGUGUAACACCAUAAUUAGAUUGCUUGAAACUGACCUAUGUCCAGUGCCAAUAUUUCCUAGGUUCUUUUAGGAUUGUCCGUAGUUGAUUGCAAAUUUGAGAAUAUGGAAUGAAGAUAAUAUGUACCGUACACAACUUAUGGGAAAUGUAAACCCACAACAUGGUACAUUUGCUGUGAAGUCGGUCUGGAUCACUUUCAAGGACUCAGAGAAUAUAUCCCACAGAACAAGACCGAAAAAAAAUGGUGAUUCUCCAAAGGCCACCAGUGAAGCAGUGAUGGAAGUUUGUAG